This is a long non-coding RNA of Lycium ferocissimum, 532 nucleotides long. RefSeq lists it as uncharacterized. NCBI's taxonomy places the organism in Eukaryota, Viridiplantae, Streptophyta, Magnoliopsida, Solanales, Solanaceae. The transcript is spliced from 2 exons. The record is from RefSeq and is a predicted model, not a curated record.
UCAUCCCGGUGUUCGUACUUAUGGAUUUGCCAACUAAACCCUUCUACCCUUUAAAAUUGAGCAUUGUAAACCUCUCUGACAUCUUCCCCCCACCCCACCCUCGUUUCUUUCCCCCCAGCCCACCCUUCAUUCUUCCCCAUCCCCUCCCCCAUUUCUUCUUCCCUUUCUCCCCCCUCCCCAUUUUCACCACCUUCACAACUUCAAUCAAUAGUUGAGAAAAAUAAUUUUCAUCUCCCUUUGUCUUCCUCAUAUUUUCUUUAUACACAAACCCAAAAAUACAAAGAAACAAAUCAAUAAUUUUCAGAUUGAUUAAUUUUCAAAGUUUUUGGAGAUCUUUCCUCGAACCCGAGAACAAGAGAAAAUGUUGAGCUUAAAAUUGCAUUCAACGGCUCUGGCAAAAUGUUGAGCUUUGACGCAAUGAAGUAGACUGAUGGUAAUUAGUGAUUUUGUUGGUGGAUGAUGGUGGUGGUGGGUGGAAGUGGGAGAUGGGAGGGUGGAGAGAGAGAGAAAGGUUUGUUUGUUUGUUUGUUUU